RNAcentral lists this ribosomal RNA (356 nucleotides) under uncultured bacterium. RNAcentral's name for it is "bacterial SSU rRNA". It matches the Rfam family "Bacterial small subunit ribosomal RNA", at positions 8 to 350 of the family's 1533-position model. The record is from RNAcentral.
AGAGUUUGAUCAUGGCUCAGGAUGAACGCUAGCUACAGGCUUAACACAUGCAAGUCGAGGGGAAACGACAUCGAAAGCUUGCUUUUGAUGGGCGUCGACCGGCGCACGGGUGAGUAACGCGUAUCCAACCUGCCCACCACUUGGGGAUAACCUUGCGAAAGUAAGACUAAUACCCAAUGACGUCUCUAGAAGACAUCUGAAGGAGAUUAAAGAUUUAUCGGUGAUGGAUGGGGAUGCGUCUGAUUAGGCUUGUUGGCGGGGUAACGGCCCGACCAAGGCGACGAUCAGUAGGGGUUCUGAGAGGAAGGUCCCCCANACUUGGAACUGAGACACGGUCCAAACUCCUACGGGAGGCA